Molecule: small nuclear RNA, 296 nt
Filed under: Chinchilla lanigera (long-tailed chinchilla)
Lineage: Eukaryota; Metazoa; Chordata; Mammalia; Rodentia; Chinchillidae
Description: 7SK RNA (ENSCLAG00000021988.1)
Rfam family: 7SK RNA
About the family: 7SK was discovered as an abundant small nuclear RNA in the mid-70s but a possible function has only recently been suggested. Two independent studies have found that 7SK RNA binds the CDK9/cyclin T complex (known as elongation factor P-TEFb).
Source: Rfam by way of RNAcentral
GGAUGUGAGGACGAUCUGGCUGCAACAUCUGUCACCCCAUUGAUCGCCCGGGUUGAUUCGGCUGAUCUGGCUGGCUAGGCGGGUGGCCCCUUCCUCCCUCAGCGCUUCAUGUGCGUCCCUCCCGAAGCUGCAUGCUCAGUCGAAGAGGACAACCACCCCCGAUAGAGGAGGACCGUUCCUCGGUCAAGGGUAUACGAGUAGCUGCUCUCCUCUGCUAGAACCUCCAAACAAGCUCCCGAGACUGAACCCAGAGCCUUCACACUGAACCACGUCACCAAUCCCUUUAAGUUUUCAUU